CCUUCAUCUGCACAGAGUGGAAACAACAAGAAGAGCAUCAAAAAAUUAGAGCGAUGUCUCUUUAGUUUCGUAUCAAUCACGCCCUGAGAAGAUUUCAUUUCCCGACAUGUUGCUGCUUCUUUAAUGAUUAACUCCUGUAAACACAGACUGAGAGCUCAACUGGACUGGAUCCAGGUUACCAUGGGACUCUGGCUUCACCAAAACAAGCACAAUCCAAUGAGGAGCUCUCUGAAGGACCAGACUACUUUCUCCUUCGGGACGUCUUUGGUGCCGCACACACUCUUCUAGCAGACUGCGGAGGAUCUGC
This is a long non-coding RNA of Labrus mixtus (cuckoo wrasse), 307 nucleotides long. RefSeq lists it as uncharacterized. The record is from RefSeq and is a predicted model, not a curated record. NCBI's taxonomy places the organism in Eukaryota, Metazoa, Chordata, Actinopteri, Labriformes, Labridae. The transcript is spliced from 3 exons.